Molecule: transfer RNA, 76 nt
Filed under: Firmicutes bacterium ADurb.Bin146
Lineage: Bacteria; Bacillati; Bacillota
Also listed under: 1 other name
Description: tRNA-Ala
Rfam family: tRNA
About the family: Transfer RNA (tRNA) molecules are approximately 80 nucleotides in length.
Source: RNAcentral
GGGGGUAUAGCUCAGCUGGGAGAGCGCUUGCUUCGCAUGUAAGAGGUCAGGGGUUCGAUUCCCCUUAUCUCCACCA